Molecule: ribosomal RNA, 499 nt
Filed under: uncultured bacterium
Lineage: Bacteria
Description: bacterial SSU rRNA
Rfam family: Bacterial small subunit ribosomal RNA
Source: RNAcentral
GACGAACGCUGGCGGCGUGGAUUAGGCAUGCAAGUCGAACGGUAGGAUACCUUCGGGUAUCUGAGAGUGGCGAACGGGUGAGUAACACGUAGGUGAUCUACCCUCAAGAUUGGGACAACCCAGGGAAACUUGGGCUAAUACCGGAUGAAAGCAGCAGUGAUGUUGUUUGAAAGGUGGCGUAAGCUGCCGUUUGGGGAUGAGCCUGCGCUCUAUUAGUUAGUUGGCGGGGUAAAGGCCCACCAAGGCGAUGAUAGAUAGGCGGCCUUAACGGGUGGUCGCCCACACUGGGAUUGAGAUACGGCCCAGACUCCUACGGGAGGCAGCAGUCGAGAAUAGUCUACAAUGGCCGAAAGGCUGAUAGUGCGACGCCGCGUGAACGAAGAAGCCCUUCGGGGUGUAAAGUUCUUUUAUUAUGUGAGCAGUGCUUUCUAUGUGAACAGCAUGGGGAGAGAGAUAUUAGCAUAUGAAUAAGCAACGGCUAACUCCGUGCCAGCAGCCG